AAUAGAUACCCGGGUAGUCCAUGCCGUAAACGGUGGGCGCUAGGUGUAGGGGUCUUCCACGACUUCUGUGCCGCAGCUAACGCAUUAAGCGCCCCGCCUGGGGAGUACGGCCGCAAGGCUAAAACUCAAAGGAAUUGACGGGGGCCCGCACAAGCGGCGGAGCAUGUGGAUUAAUUCGAUGCAACGCGAAGAACCUUACCUGGGCUUGACAUGGACCGGAUCGGCGUAGAGAUACGUUUUCCCUUGUGGUCGGUUCACAGGUGGUGCAUGGUUGUCGUCAGCUCGUGUCGUGAGAUGUUGGGUUAAGUCCCGCAACGAGCGCAACCCUUGUCUUAUGUUGCCAGCACAUUGUGGUGGGUACUCAUGAGAGACUGCCGGGGUUAACUCGGAGGAAGGUGGGGAUGACGUCAAAUCAUCAUGCCCCUUAUGUCCAGGGCUUCACACAUGCUACAAUGGUCGGUACAGCGAGUCGCCGCACCGUGAGGUGGAGCUAAUCUCUUAAAGCCGGCCUCAGUUCGGAUUGGGGUCUGC
This 531-nucleotide ribosomal RNA is filed under the name uncultured bacterium. Its description in RNAcentral is "bacterial SSU rRNA". It matches the Rfam family "Bacterial small subunit ribosomal RNA", at positions 777 to 1308 of the family's 1533-position model. The record is from RNAcentral.